Molecule: ribosomal RNA, 576 nt
Filed under: Thelephora anthocephala
Lineage: Eukaryota; Fungi; Basidiomycota; Agaricomycetes; Thelephorales; Thelephoraceae
Description: eukaryotic LSU rRNA
Rfam family: Eukaryotic large subunit ribosomal RNA
Source: RNAcentral
UCGAUCUCAAAUCAGGUAGGACUACCCGCUGAACUUAAGCAUAUCAAUAAGCGGAGGAAAAGAAACUAACAAGGAUUCCCCUAGUAACUGCGAGUGAAGCGGGAAGAGCUCAAAUUUAAAAUCUGGCGUGCCUCUGGCCGUCCGAGUUGUAGUCUGGAGAAGUGUUUUCCGUGUUGGACCGUGUAUAAGUCUCUUGGAACAGGGCGUCAUAGAGGGUGAGAAUCCCGUCUUUGACACGGACUACCAAUGCUUUGUGAUGCGCUCUCAAAGAGUCGAGUUGUUUGGGAAUGCAGCUCAAAAUGGGUGGUAAAUUCCAUCUAAAGCUAAAUAUAGGCGAGAGACCGAUAGCGAACAAGUACCGUGAGGGAAAGAUGAAAAGCACUUUGGAAAGAGAGUUAAACAGUACGUGAAAUUGCUGAAAGGGAAACGCUUGAAGUCAGUCGUGUCUGCCAGGACUCAGCCUUGCUUCUGCUUGGUGUACUUUCUGGUCGGAUGGGCCAACAUCAAUUUUGACCGUUGGAGAAAGGCUUUGGGAAUGUGGCACCUUCGGGUGUGUUAUAGCCCUUUGUUGUAUAC